This 830-nucleotide ribosomal RNA is filed under the name uncultured Caldilineaceae bacterium. RNAcentral describes it as "bacterial SSU rRNA". It matches the Rfam family "Bacterial small subunit ribosomal RNA", at positions 130 to 977 of the family's 1533-position model. Lineage: Bacteria; Bacillati; Chloroflexota; Caldilineae; Caldilineales; Caldilineaceae. The record is from RNAcentral.
CCUGGAGUGGGGGAUAACUUCCUCGAAAGAGAAGCUAAUACCGCAUACGCUCGGCCAUUCAGUUGGUCGAGUAAAGCUCCGGCGCUCCAGGAGGGGCCUGCGUCCGAUUAGCUAGUUGGUGGGGUAAUGGCCUACCAAGGCGAUGAUCGGUAGCUGGUCUGAGAGGACGAUCAGCCACACUGGCACUGACACACGGGCCAGACUCCUACGGGAGGCAGCAGUGAGGAAUAUUGGUCAAUGGGCGAAAGCCUGAACCAGCAACGCCGCGUGAGGGAUGAAGGCCUUCGGGUCGUAAACCUCUUUUCUGGGAGAAGAGACAAGGACGGUAUCCCAGGAAUAAGUCUCGGCUAACUACGUGCCAGCAGCCGCGGUAAAACGUAGGGAGGCAAGCGUUAUCCGGAUUUACUGGGCGUAAAGCGCACGCAGGCGGCUGCGUAAGUCGGACGUGAAAGCUCCCGGCUCAACUGGGAGAGGUCGUUCGAAACUGCGCGGCUUGAGGUUGGAAGAGGAGAGCGGAAUUCCCGGUGUAGUGGUGGAAUGCGUAGAUAUCGGGAGGAACACCAGUGGCGAAAGCGGCUCUCUGGUCCACACCUGACGCUCAGGUGCGAAAGCGUGGGUAGCGAACGGGAUUAGAUACCCCGGUAGUCCACGCUGUAAACGAUGCGAACUAGGUGUUGGUAGUAUUAAACCUAUCAGUGCCGAAGCUAACGCGAUAAGUUCGCCGCCUGGGGACUACGGCCGCAAGGCUAAAACUCAAAGGAAUUGACGGGGGCCCGCACAAGCAGCGGAGCGUGUGGUUUAAUUCGAUGCAACGCGAAGAACCUUACCUG